Molecule: small nuclear RNA, 102 nt
Organism: Centrocercus urophasianus (Greater sage-grouse)
Lineage: Eukaryota; Metazoa; Chordata; Aves; Galliformes; Phasianidae
Source: RefSeq, a predicted model, not a curated record
AUGCUUUGGCGGCACAUAUACUAACACCAAACUGAUACAAAGAAGAUUAUAUGGACCCUGCACAAGGACGACAGGUAAAUUCAUGAAGUAUUCCAUUUUUUU